This 548-nucleotide ribosomal RNA is filed under the name uncultured Glomeromycotina. RNAcentral's name for it is "SSU rRNA". It matches the Rfam family "Eukaryotic small subunit ribosomal RNA", at positions 548 to 1098 of the family's 1831-position model. Lineage: Eukaryota; Fungi; Glomeromycota. The record is from RNAcentral.
UUGGAGGGCAAGUCUGGUGCCAGCAGCCGCGGUAAUUCCAGCUCCAAUAGCGUAUAUUAAAGUUGUUGCAGUUAAAAAGCUCGUAGUUGAAUUUCGGGAUCAGUACGUUGGUCGUGCCUUAGGUACGUACUGGUGUUACUGGUUCCUACCUUCUGACGAACCAUCAUGUCAUUAAUUUGGUGUGGCGGGGAAUCAGGACUGUUACUUUGAAAAAAUUAGAGUGUUUAAAGCAGGCUCGCGCUUGAAUACAUUAGCAUGGAAUAAUGAAAUAGGACGUUGAUCCUAUUUUGUUGGUUUCUAGGAUUGACGUAAUGAUUAAUAGGGAUAGUUGGGGGCAUUAGUAUUCAAUUGUCAGAGGUGAAAUUCUUGGAUUUAUUGAAGACUAACUACUGCGAAAGCAUUUGCCAAGGAUGUUUUCAUUAAUCAAGAACGAAAGUUAGGGGAUCGAAGACGAUCAGAUACCGUCGUAGUCUUAACCAUAAACUAUGCCGACUAGGGAUCGGAUGAUGUUAAUUUUUUAAUGACUCAUUCGGCGCCUUACGGGAAAC